AACGAACGCUGGCGGCAGGCUUAACACAUGCAAGUCGAACGCCCCGCAAGGGGAGUGGCAGACGGGUGAGUAACGCGUGGGAAUCUACCCAUCUCUGCGGAAUAGCUCUGGGAAACUGGAAUUAAUACCGCAUACGCCCUACGGGGGAAAGAUUUAUCGGGGAUGGAUGAGCCCGCGUUGGAUUAGCUAGUUGAUGGGGUAAAGGCCUACCAAGGCGACGAUCCAUAGCUGGUCUGAGAGGAUGAUCAGCCACAUUGGGACUGAGACACGGCCCAAACUCCUACGGGAGGCAGCAGUGGGGAAUAUUGGACAAUGGGCGCAAGCCUGAUCCAGCCAUGCCGCGUGGGUGAUGAAGGCCUUAGGGUUGUAAAGCUCUUUCACCGAUGAAGAUAAUGACGGUAGUCGGAGAAGAAGCCCCGGCUAACUUCGUGCCAGCCGCCGCGGUAA
This 447-nucleotide ribosomal RNA is filed under the name uncultured bacterium. RNAcentral's name for it is "partial 16S ribosomal RNA". It matches the Rfam family "Bacterial small subunit ribosomal RNA", at positions 29 to 523 of the family's 1533-position model. The record is from RNAcentral.